Molecule: ribosomal RNA, 462 nt
Filed under: uncultured bacterium
Lineage: Bacteria
Description: partial 16S ribosomal RNA
Rfam family: Bacterial small subunit ribosomal RNA
Source: RNAcentral
GACGAACGCUGGCGGCGUGCUUAACACAUGCAAGUCGAACGGAAAGGCCCUUCGGGGUACUCGAGCGGCGAACGGGUGAGUAACACGUGAGUAACCUGCCCCAGACUUUGGGAUAACCCUCGGAAACGGGGGCUAAUACCGGAUACGACACAGCUUCGCAUGGGGUCUGUGUGGAAAGUUUUUCGGUUUGGGAUGGGCUCGCGGCCUAUCAGCUUGUUGGUGGGGUGAUGGCCUACCAAGGCGACGACGGGUAGCCGGCCUGAGAGGGCGACCGGCCACACUGGGACUGAGACACGGCCCAGACUCCUACGGGAGGCAGCAGUGGGGAAUAUUGCACAGUGGGCGGAAGCCUGAUGCAGCGACGCCGCGUGAGGGAUGACGGCCUUCGGGUUGUAAACCUCUUUCAGCAGGGACGAAGCGUAAGUGACGGUACCUGCAGAAGAAGCGCCGGCCAACUACGUG